UAAGAAGCUGAGGAGAGGAAGGCAGAGAAACUGCUGAGAAAAGAGAGAGUAAAUCACUUGAAAUUAGAGCAAAUCACUUUUAAGAAGCUGAGGAGAGGAAGGUAGAGAAACUGCUGAGAAAAGAGAAAGUAAAUCACUUGAAAUUAGAGCAAAGGAGAGGAAGAAAGAGAAACUGCUGAGAAAAAGAGGAAGGAAAUCGCUUGAAAUUAGAGCUGAGGUGAGGAAGGAAGAGAAACCAGUGAGAAAAGAGA
This is a long non-coding RNA of Magnolia sinica, 251 nucleotides long. RefSeq lists it as uncharacterized. Lineage: Eukaryota; Viridiplantae; Streptophyta; Magnoliopsida; Magnoliales; Magnoliaceae. The record is from RefSeq and is a predicted model, not a curated record. The transcript is spliced from 2 exons.